AACGAACGCUGGCGGCAUGCCUAACACAUGCAAGUCGAACGAGUGCCUUCGGGUGCUAGUGGCGCACGGGUGCGUAACGCGUGGGAAUCUGCCCUUGGGUUCGGAAUAACCGUUGGAAACGACGGCUAAUACCGGAUGAAGUCGAUAAGACCAAAGAUUUAUCGCCUGAGGAUGAGCCCGCGUAGGAUUAGCUAGUUGGUGUGGUAAGAGCGCACCAAGGCGACGAUCCUUAGCUGGUCUGAGAGGAUGAUCAGCCACACUGGGACUGAGACACGGCCCAGACUCCUACGGGAGGCAGCAGUGGGGAAUAUUGGACAAUGGGCGCAAGCCUGAUCCAGCAAUGCCGCGUGAGUGAUGAAGGCCUUAGGGUUGUAAAGCUCUUUUACCCGGGAUGAUAAUGACAGUACCGGGAGAAUAAGCUCCGGCUAACUCCGUGCCAGCCGCCGCCGUAA
RNAcentral lists this ribosomal RNA (452 nucleotides) under uncultured bacterium. RNAcentral's name for it is "partial 16S ribosomal RNA". It matches the Rfam family "Bacterial small subunit ribosomal RNA", at positions 29 to 523 of the family's 1533-position model. The record is from RNAcentral.